This is a non-coding RNA of Arachis ipaensis, 2861 nucleotides long. Lineage: Eukaryota; Viridiplantae; Streptophyta; Magnoliopsida; Fabales; Fabaceae. The record is from RefSeq and is a predicted model, not a curated record.
AUAAGCAAGCCAUAACACACCUCUCCCGAGUCACCAACUCACUGGCACUGCUCCCUCUUCCCUCACCUUCAUUCAUUUUAUUUUUUCUUCUAUCCAUUUCCCAUAAAUUUCAAAUUCAUCAACCUGUAAAUCAAAUUGUCUCCUCCAAAUUCCAAAUCACACGAAGAAAUCUAGAAUAUUCUCGGGAUUCGAACUUGGAGUUUAUUCUUGAAGCACGCAAUUAGGAUUUUCUUUGAGCGCUCCAGAUUCAGCAUCAAGGCGUCGUUAUGGAAACAAUGUAGGAGAACGAGAUCUUCGUGCUAGUAAAUCGAAUCGUGCAAAAUUCUAAUUUUCGAUGGAAAACAACUGCGUGGGACCGAACGCCAGUGGCGGAAACAACUUCCUCAAAUCAAUGUUGGUGGCGAUCUGGAGAACGCGGCCACCGUAGACCAGGCUCCUGGCACAAGACGUCGCUUCCACGUAGCAACCACCAACAAUAGGGAGACUCCAUCACAGUCUCCGGUGCCAUCAAUUCCCGCUCUGAUAUCUACCACCGUGGCCGUAGAAAGUAGCAAAGUCCUCGAGCAAAUUGUUCUCCUUUUUCCUUCAUUCCAUUCAGUCUCCUUCAUUUCAUUCUAAAAUGUGAAUUUUCUCUAGUUUUGUGAUAAUUCCUGUUUUGUGCUUUGUAUCUUAUUAUAUGAAGAAUUAUUUUGUUGGAAGCUUUAAAUUCUGUUUGUUUUAAAAUUCAUUUUAAUUUUACUAGUACAUAACAUGUUCGAUGAAAUGUUUCAACUAGAAUUAUGGCUGUUUGAUGCAUUUCUAAUAGAAGGACAGAUAAGAGUGCAAUUGAUGCACUAAUAUGCAAUUAUAUUGGUCCAAUGUCAAGAGUUACAUUGUUAAUUAAGUGAUUCUUGCAAUCUUAUGUAAUGUGAACUUCUUUUUGAAUAACAUUUUUAAGUGUUGUAGUUUAUUUUUUUCUUUUUUCGUGUGGUAUUAAUGCAGUUUGUCUAAAUUAAUUAAUUUAGUGAUUAAUUAUAAGAUGAGUAUAAAUCAAUUAAUUUGCAGGAAAUUUGAUAUCACCUUUGUAUAUGUUUUCCAAAGCAUGUUACCAAUCACUCUUAUUACUAUUAAUUAAUUGUGCUCAAUGCAAUAAUAUUGCAGGAAGCAUUUUCUCUCUCUGAUUCUAAAGUUCUUGAGGGAGUGGUACACUCUAUUCUUUCAUUUAUUGGAAACUUUUUCAUUUUCAAAAAAGAAAACCUACUAAUUCUAGACUUGCAUUUACCUGAUUUGUUAGUUUUAUUUAUAUCUCUUUGCAUAUGUAUAUUUUUAUGAAAAUUAUUUGAGGCACUGGUAUAAUGAAUCUCAUUUGUUUGAAUAUAAUUAACAAUUAUGUGUUUUUCGUUGUUUCAGCUUGUCAAGUGGCAGAACUUGAUGUAAUACAAUAUAUAUACACUAAUUCCGUGGUGACCUUUGGUACUCUCUUCAACUUUGGUCAUAAAUUCUCUGUGACUGAGAUAUUCUCUUAGUGAUACUGUUCAAGUGUUUCAAGUUUUGAUUGAGAUCAGAUUUAAUAAUAAUGUUUCUUGCACGGCUGCACCUAGUAUUUCUACGGGCACUUUGAGUUCCAUGUAUAGUGAAAUAAUUGUUGUUCAAUUCAACAUUUAACUGUUUAUAUAUAGCUCAAGGUCUGACUUUUGUUAAUAGUGUAUAUUGGAUGCAUUUUGAUGAAGUAUUUUCUGACAAGCUAAUUUAGCUUCUUUAUUCUACAACUUCAUCAUUUCUUUAAAAUGGUUGUGAAUUUUACUUCAAACCUGGACUACUCUUGUCUAAUACAGAAAAGAUACAAUAUUAUGACAAUUCAAUCAUUUUCUAUGGUGAAAUUUAAAAACUGAUUCUAUUAUUCCUCUAUUUAUUCCUAACUCUAGCUAACUACCUUUCCCUUCAAAAGUUCCUCUGUUACAAAUCUGUUAGACCUAAAGGCCACUUGCCAUGCUUAUUUGUCUUGUAUGCUAGCCCAUAUAAAUAGUCUCUAACAAAAUGCGAGGUAACUGGUUAAGCCUUCUCGAAGUCCUGAUAGUUGGAAGCUGAGUGAGAUUUUUGCAACUGGGAUUGUCCUAGGAGGUUAUCUGACUCUAAUGACAGUGAUAUUCUUUUGAGCAGCAUAUAAAAUACACUUUUUUCCUAACCAUUUUCAUGUGAGACAUCUCCACGGAGAUCUUCAUGGUCCACCUACUCAUGAAGAGAGUAAAAUGCUAGGAGCUGCUAUAUAUCUUCAAGUCAGUAUAAUUAGUCAAGCCUUAAUUUUUGUGAAUCGCUCAAGGGGAUGGUCCUAUACAAAAAGGCCCGGUGUUUUGCUUAUGAUCGCUUUUGUUAUAACUCAACUGAUUGCAACUAUUGUAUCUGCCUUUCUCUCUUAGGAGCUAGCAAGAAUCAAAGCCAUAGGAUGGAGUUAGACGGGAAUCAUCUGGGUUUACUCUAUUAUAACUUACUUAUUUUUGGAUCCUAUAAAGUUUGCUGUUCGUUAUGCAUUAAGUGGAAGAGCUUGGAAUUUGGUGGUAGCCAAACAUGGGGAUCACAAGAAAUUGUUGAAGAGGACAAGAGAGAGUUUCUUGUGUUAAAGAGUUGCUUGUGAAGCAAUUGCUGAAGUUGAAUACUAUUGAGGUUGAAGGUGAAGCUAAGUUGCGGAAAAAAGUUGAGGAUUAAGUUACAAGUACAAUUGUUAGCUUUCAUGUUUGGAUUAAUUUAGGAUUUUUUGAAUUUACAUUUUAUUGAUUAUGAUUAUGUAAAAUUUGUCGAAUUCAACUUUUGAAAUAUAUUGUUGCUAUUUUUGUAAAACUUACAAGAUUAAGUUUAAAUUUAUUGAAAUAUUAUGCCAUUUAUUA